AAGAAAGGGAUCCAAGAAAUCAGGGGUGUGGAGGCAGGAGGCCAGGGGCCUUCCUGGGACCCCUCAGGAGGUUCCCCUAGCACCACUCGCAGGCAGAACAGCCCAGCCUCACCCCGAGGGCUGCGGGAGGUGCUGCUAGAAAAUCACUUGGGGCUUCCUUUUGGCCUCCCAGUGAGUCAUGAGGGCUGCGGCACAGAGGGGCAGGGGGACAUCCAGGAGGGCUGGGUGCUCCUGCUGCUGUCCUGGGAGGGGGCACGUCAGUGUCCAGCGGGGCCGGGUGCAUCCAGUAAAGGAGUGCGUGCAGCGUGUGGCAUCUGAGCAAAGCUGGAGUCACACCGUGUGGCUGGGGACCGCAAACUCCUCACUCAGCUCCCCCCAGCCUCAAUGUUCCCGUCUGUGAAGUGGGGCACAGGAAACCCGCCCAUCCUGGGUCACAGGGUGCUGGAGGAGCAGACGGGAGUGGGUUGUGCCCUGCGAAACUCUGCACCUCGGGAGGUGGCACGUCUCUCCCGCAGCCUCACUGGGGUGUGUGUGGCCCAACCUGGGGAUCCCCGCCGGCUUCUCCACUCCCUUGGCUGCUUCCAGGCUCAGCAGAGGUGGUUUCUGUCCUUCGGUUUGGAUGAAGGUGGUUGGCUCAGCGGAGACCAUCUUUCUCUGAGUCCUCCGGAGGCUGAGAGCAAACGGCUGCACUAGGAACCCAGCAGUCAGACCGGCCCCCACCCUGGAGUGAACACAUCGCCACUGCCAGGCAUCGCAGGGAGGAUUACCCCAAUGGCACCUGGCUGGGCGACGAGAACAACCCCGAGAUGCGGGUGCACUGCGCCAUCAUCCCCUCCGACAUGCUGCACAUCAGCACCAACUGCCGCACGGCCGAGGAGAUGGUGCUCACGCUGCUGGACUACCUCUUCCACCGCGAGGUGCAGGCUGUGUCCAGCCUCUCGGGGCAGGGCAAGCACGGGAAGAAGCAGCUGGACCCGCUCACCAUCUAUGGCAUCCGGUGUCACCUUUUCUAUAAAUUUGGCAUCACAGAAUCUGACUGGUACCGAAUCAAGCAGAGCAUCGACUCCAAGUGCCGCACGGCGUGGCGGCGCAAGCAGUGGGGCCAGAGCCUGGUGGUCAAGAGCUUCUCGUGGAGAAUGCCCAACUCAUCCUCCUACUGCCCCUCAGAGCCGAUGAUGAGCACCCCACCUCCUGCCAGAGAGCUCCUGCAGCCACAGCUGCAGCCGCAGGCCCUGCACUACGCGCUGGCCAACGUGCAGCAGGUGCAGAUCCACCAGAUCGGAGAAGACGGACAGGUGCAAGUAGGACACCUCCACAUCGCCAAGGUGCCACAGGGGGAGCAAGUCCAGAUCACGCAGGACAGCGAGAGCCCGUGUUCUGGUACUACGUGAAGGAGGUCCUCAACAAGCACGAGCUGCAAGCGCUUCUACUCCCUGCGCCACAUCGCCUCAGACGUGGGCCGGGGCCGCACCUGGCUGCGCUGUGCCCUCAACGAACACUCCCUGGAGCGCUACCUGCACAUGCUCCUGGCCGACCGCUGCAGGCUCAGUACUUUUUAUGAAGACUGGUCUUUUGUGAUGGAUGAAGAGAGGUCCAGUAUGCUUCCUACCAUGGCAGCAGGUCCGAACUCCAUACUCUUUGCGAUUAACAUUGACAACAAGGAUUUGAACGGGCAGAGUAAGUUUGCUCCCACCGUUUCAGACCUCUUAAAGGAGUCAACGCAGAAUGUGACCUUGCUGAAGGAGUCCACGCAAGGAGUGAGCAGCGUGUUCAGGGAGAUCACAGCCUCCUCUGCCAUCUCCAUCCUCAUCAAACCUGAACAGGAGACCGACCCCUUGCCCGUCGUGUCCAGGAAUGUCAGUGCUGAUGCCAAAUGCAAAAAGGAGCGGAAGAAGAAAAAGCAAGUGACCAACAUUAUCUCAUUUGAUGAUGAGGAAGAUGAGCAGAACUCUGGGGACAUGUUUAAAAAGACACCUGGGGCAGGGGAGAGCUCAGAGGACAACUCCGACCACUCCUCUGUCAAUAUCAUGUCCGCCUUUGAAAGCCCCUUCGGGCCAAACUCCAAUGGAAGUCAGAGCAGCAACUCGUGGAAAAUUGAUUCCCUGUCUUUGAACAGGGAGUUUGGGUACCAGAAGCUUGAUGUGAAAAGCAUCGAUGAUGAAGAUGUGGAUGAAAACGAAGAUGACGUGUAUGGAAACUCAUCAGGACGGAAGCACAGGGGCCACUCAGAGUCGCCCGAGAAAAACGGAGCACACUCUGUCACCCAGGCUGGAGUGCAAUGGCACGAUCUCAGCUCACUACAACCUCUGCCUCCCGGGUUCAAGUGAUUCUACUGCCUCAGCCUCCCGUGUAGCUGGGAUUACAGGCGCGCACCAACACACCCGACUAAUUUUUGUAUUUUUAGUAAAGACAGGGUUUCACCAUGUUGGCCAGGCUGGUCUUGCACUCCUGACCUCACGUGAUCUGCCCCACCUUGGCCUCCCAAAGUGCUGGGAUUACAGGUGUGAACCACUGCGCCCAGCCCCAAGUGGCUUUUUCAAUUACAUGAGCCAACAUAUUCUCACAAGUCCAUUCGAGUUUGGUGUCUGUUACUUGCAAAUAAGGGAGUUCUGAUUGGUUCCCAGUGAAACCUCAUCUGUAAGACCUCUGAGCCACCAGUAUCCACGGGGCUUGUCCUAUAACAGCUCCUGUGCAAUCCAGUAACCUUGAACACUGGAAGCCACUGAGCCCUUCUGUGAGUAGAUGCACACCUCUGAGGCUAAGAUUACUGGUGUACUCAUUGGGACCAGUUUGGUCUCAGUGACUGAAAACUCAACCCAAACUUGUUCAUUUGGAAAGGAAAAGUCAACCAGGCACAGUGGCUCAUGCCUGUAGUUCCAGCACUUUGGGAGGCUGAGGUGGACAGAUCGCUUGAGCCCAGGGGUUCAAGACCAACCUGGGCAACAUAGCAAAACCCUGCCUCUACAAAAAAAAAAAAAAAUUCUUUUUUUUUCGAGACAGAGUCUCGCACUGUCGCCCAGGCUGGAGUGCAGUGGUGCAAUCUUGGCUCACUGCAAUCUCUGCCUCCCGGGCUCAAGCGAUUCUCCUGCCUCAGCCUCCCGAGUAGUUGGACUACAGGCGUGCACCAACAGGGCCAGCCAAUUUUUGUAUUUUUAGUAGAGACAGGGUUUCACAAUGUUGGCCAGGAUGGUCUCGAUUUCUUGACCUCGUGAUCUGCCUGCCUCGGCUUCCCAAAGUGCCGGGAUUACAGGCGUGAGCCACCGGUGCCUGGCCUCUACAAAAAAUAUUUUAAAUUAGCAGGCAUGAUGGUGCAUGCCUGUAGUCCCAAAUGGGCAAAGUUGUUCUCUGAUUGGCUGAGGUCUUUGUCACCUGCUCCACCCCUGAGCUGGAGCCCCACCCAAAGUAAUUGACUGAAAGGGGGUGUUCUCCAGUGGGAAAUUAGGUAAGGUUUACAUUAUUUGGCCCUAACUCUUCACCCUUCCCCCUACCCAUGCCCUUGGCCAUGUAAUUUUGCAGUGCCCUCCUGUCACAGGCAGGAUGACCUGAUGCCUCUUUUUUCUUUUUUGAGAUGGAGUCUCACUCUGUCGCCCAGGCUGGAGUGCAAUGGUGCAAUCUCAGCUCUCUGCAACCUCCACUUCCUGGGUUCAAGAGAUUCUCCUGCCUCAGCCUCCUAAGUAGCUGGGAUUACAGGCGCCUGCCACCACACCCAGCUAAUUUUUGCAUUUUUAGUAGAGAAAGGGUUUCGCCAUGUUGGCCAGGCUGGUCUUGAACUCCUGACUUCAGGUGAUCCUCCUCGCCUGCCUUGCCUCCCAAAGUGCUGGGAUUACAGGCAUAAGCCACCACGCCCGGCCCUGCCUCUUGAGCUGGGGAGUUCAAGACCAGCCUGGGCAACAUAAUGAGAUUUCAGCUCUAUUAAAAAUAAUAAUAAUUAAAAAAAAAAAGAAUGGCCCUACCUUUCACUGGCAGGGAAGGGUGGAGGGCCCUCCUGUCAUCUCCAAAUCAUAGUACUGUCCCCACCAGCCAUAGCUGAUCAUUUUAGGAGUGGUUCCAAGGAGUCCCAAGCUGGGCCCAUUACAGCCUCUCCUGGAGGGUUACAAUUGGAUGAGAAGCCAAUCGAUAUCCUCUAUAAUUAAAAAUAUAAGAACUUAGGAGUCAUGGGGCAGCUGUGUUUAGUUGAAAGCCUAGAGAAGCAGAGAGAGUCCAUGUGUUUGUUACUUACGGUAAUGCUGGCUGCUGGAACAGAUAAGCCCCGAAAUCUCUGUGGCUUAACAUCACAGAAGUUUAUUACCUGCUCAGAUAACAGUCUAAGGCAGAUGUGCCACAUGGCGAUUCAGGGACUGCUACCUUGUGGUUCUGCUGUCUCUCGGGGCCUCGGCUGGUAGAUAGCAAACAAUGCAGACAGGAGAAGACAGAUCCAUGAUCUUAACCAUCUCAGCCCCAGACAGGGGACCGCGUCAUUUCCACCCACCUUCCAUCAGCAAGAACCAGUCACAUGAGCACAUCUAACAGCAAUGAAGGCUGGGAAAUACAUGCCCAGGAAGGGAGGAAUCAGUUUCUUUGCAGAGGAGAGAGGGAACAGAAGAGAGGGAAAGGGGGAAAAUAGAGAGACGGAGGGAGAGAAAGAGAGAAGAACUAAUGAGCACAGAACUAAGAAAGCCCAGGCACAGUGGCUCACAUCAGUAAUUCUAGGGCCUUGGGAGGCAAGACAAGAGAAUCACUUGAGGCCAUGAGUUCAAGGGCAGCCUAGGCAACAUAGUGGGACCCUAUCUCCACAAAAAUAAUAAUAUUAUUAUUAUUAAAUAAAAUAAAAGGAAGAGA
Molecule: long non-coding RNA, 4818 nt
Organism: Homo sapiens (human)
Lineage: Eukaryota; Metazoa; Chordata; Mammalia; Primates; Hominidae
Source: Ensembl